GAACACGAUUUAGAAUUGCAGAGUCAAGUGGACCGCGUCCGCCUCCUCCGUGGGGCGGGCGCGGUGGCUUGGGGAAAUUCCCCGGACACCAGGGCAGAAAGUGCCAGCGUCGAUGCGCGGACCCCCUCGCCGCCGAAGCCGAGCCUCUUGGGGCUCCCGUGGAGAUGGCCACGGUCUCUGGACCGUGGCCGGAGCGGCGCGCACGCGGGCGCACGCGGGAGGACUGAUCGUCAUGCUAACAGUUAUGCAAUUGGCUCAACGGCCUCUACGGGCUUCGUCCCGCUGUUUGGAGCUAACCCGACGGGGAUUACUCAAGUCGUGUU
This 323-nucleotide RNase MRP RNA is filed under the name Pythium arrhenomanes ATCC 12531. RNAcentral's name for it is "SRP RNA EPrPArr00000013130". It matches the Rfam family "RNase MRP". From Rfam's summary of the family: RNase MRP is an enzymatically active ribonucleoprotein with two distinct roles in eukaryotes. In mitochondria it plays a direct role in the initiation of mitochondrial DNA replication. Lineage: Eukaryota; Oomycota; Peronosporomycetes; Pythiales; Pythiaceae. The record is from RNAcentral.